Molecule: ribosomal RNA, 492 nt
Filed under: uncultured bacterium
Lineage: Bacteria
Description: partial 16S ribosomal RNA
Rfam family: Bacterial small subunit ribosomal RNA
Source: RNAcentral
AGUGAACGCUGGCGGUAGGCCUAACACAUGCAAGUCGAACGGCAGCACAGUAAGAGCUUGCUCUUACGGGUGGCGAGUGGCGGACGGGUGAGGAAUACAUCGGAAUCUACUUUUUCGUGGGGGAUAACGUAGGGAAACUUACGCUAAUACCGCAUACGACCUACGGGUGAAAGCAGGGGAUCUUCGGACCUUGCGCGAUUGAAUGAGCCGAUGUCGGAUUAGCUAGUUGGCGGGGUAAAGGCCCACCACGGCGACGAUCCGUAGCUGGUCUGAGAGGAUGAGCCGCCACACUGGAACUGAAGCACGGACCAGACUUCUACUGGAUGCAGCAGUGGGGAAUAUUAGACAAUGGGCGCAAGCCUUAACCAGCCAUACCGCGUAGGUGAAGAAGGCCUUCGGGUUGUAAAGCCCUUUUGUUGGGAAAGAAAAGCAGCAGGUUAAUACCCCGCUGUUCUGACGGUACCCAAAGAAUAAGCACCGGCUAACUUCGUG